RNAcentral lists this long non-coding RNA (1660 nucleotides) under Canis lupus familiaris (dog). RNAcentral describes it as "lncRNA (ENSCAFG00805014746.1, ENSCAFG00845023747.1)". The record is from RNAcentral. Lineage: Eukaryota; Metazoa; Chordata; Mammalia; Carnivora; Canidae.
GGAUUGACAGCUUGAUAUUAGAAUUUUGACUUAGUAUUAAGUGUUCUGUGAGCCCUCACUUCACCUUCUUUAGUUACUCUCCUUGCCAGUCUCAACACACUGAUCUCUGUUGUGUGUGUUUGGGGAGGGUGGGGCGGUAAGAGUCAGGGAGAUAAGCUAAAAUUGUUUUUUUUUAUCAGAUGAUUGUACUCUGUAUAAUAUCUCCGUUUCCUGUGAAGUUUGUGUUUAUGCAGGGCAGCAGGGGAGACGAGGGGAAUCAUGAGUACAAAUACAGGAAAAAUUGUUUUUGUGCAGCGCCCCCACCUCCCCCCGGCUGGUUCUUCCACAGAUUGCAAAGAAAGCCUUGCCAUUUUUAUGAUUAUACAUGUAGAUGGAAAACAAGCUCUUCUUAGGAGUGAAAUGUUUUUUAAACUAAUUAGAGAUGAAUAUGAGAUUUUUUUCCAAAAAGUCGUCAUAAGGCCUGAUAAUUGGCGAGUUGUACUCUAGGUUUUUGACGCUUCUAUUAAUGAUAAAUUAAGUCCAGAUAGGAACCUCUGCUCCAGAGUUGCCAGAUAAUCAUUGAUGGGGUACAACCACUCUCCGUAUUUUUUUUUCUUUGCUCUCCCUUGGUUUCUGUGUAUCUUUCUAAACCUCAAGCAUUUCUUCUUAUUUUGAUCUGUAAUUUAAGCUGACUCAAUAGCACCAAUAAAUAAUAUGAAAUAUGUGUCCUUGCUCUGAAGUGUGAGAGGUCUUUAGGUAGGAAUAGGAUAAAAGAGGACCAGGCAGUUGCAGUAUGCACAUAAAGGAGAGAUAAAGAGAUGAUAAACUAAGGCUGAGGAAAUUGCUCUGAUACUUUCUUCACCUCUAACAUAUCUUUUGUGUUCCUGCCCUUAUACAUUGUGCUAUUAGGAAGAAGACACAUGUUACUGUAUUGUGUAUUAAAAGUAGUAGGUAGGUAGAACCAAUAUAUUUUUCAACUAAGUAAGUGUAUACACUUAGUAUAUAUAAUUAAAAAUUGGUAUAAGAUAGUCAUUAAAAAUACCUGCAUAUUAUGUUAAAAGUAUACAAUCAUUGUUUCUGUAAUGAUGAUGGGUAUUCAGAUUCUUAUUUUGCUUUGUGAUUAUAGAGGAAAAUACUGUUUUUAAAAAUGUAUAUUGCAGCAGUUUUGGGGUAAACAGCAAUCUGAAAAAAAAGCAUCACGUUAUUGUAUGAAAUAUGAGUGUUCGAAUUUGUUUUGUUCUGGGGAUAUCUCCUGAAAGUACCCUAAAGUUAUGGAUGUUACAGCUAAAUUUAAGUCUUUUUUUUUUUUUUAAAUAUUAGCCAUGUUAUUAGUGAUUGCUUUUUAUUUGGCAUUAAAGUGAAAAAGAAGAGUGAUACAGGUUUUCAGUAAGAAAAGAUAAAAUUUGGGAAAUAUGAAAGGAGGGUAGUGAGGAGAAUGAAGUCAGGUAGAUCUGAAACUCUACAACCUGAUAUUUUUAUAAUCGUUUUGAAAAUACAUUAUCAAGUCGUUUCUAAAUAAGGCAAGUUACACAUUGUGCCAAGUACUUAGAACAUAUAAAAAAAUGAAUUGUGAUACUAUGUCUUUUAAUAUAUAAUUUGCAAUUUUCUAUAUUAAAAUGCUACAAGGAGUCUAUGUCAUUGAUGUUAUCUCCAAAUAAUAGAAUUUAUCCUUAUUACCACU